GGACAAAGAUAGAUAUUUAUGGAAGAAUAGAGAGGUCACGUGAGCAGAGUGGUAGAUCCGCAAAGAUGGCACGUGGACACUGAAAUAAAGAAAAUAUGGUAAAUAAAGGGAAGGGCAAGGGCAGAUUCGGAGAGGGAAAGAAACCCAUCUGCGAAGUCGGUGGGUGCUUACGUGGCAACAUCUGGUUGCGAAAUUGGGAGUAUAAAAAAUAUGAGGUAGAGAGAGAGAGAGCGCGAGAGAGAUAUAGAGAGAAAUAGGGAGGGAGAGAGAGAGAGAGAGAGGUAGGGUUGAUAUUUGAUUCAGUUACCAGCGGUGUCUAAUUCGCUUGGUGCAGGUCGGGAACCGGUUCGCAAUGGGAUUGGAUUUUGGAGCGAAAUGGCUCCCGCCUUGCAUCAACUGAAUCGGAGACCGCGGUGAGGAGGGUUUUCUCUCGGCUUCGAAUCCGUAUGCAUUGUUCUUCAUCUUCUUCUUCUUUUCUGAUUUCAGAUCUCAUCUCAGGUUCUAUUGAUUUCUGAUUUUUUUUAUCCUUAUUCGCAAGAUCUACCUACGUUUUUUAUUCGAUUAGACACUGCGAUUUCUGUUUUCUUGCAUUUACGGCGGUUUCAACCGUUGGCGGCCGUCGGAGUUUGUUUUUUUUUUUUUUUUGCUAUUCUCGGACUGAGCCUUUCAAUUCCUUUUGAAUAUGGAUUUAUGACUUUCUUUGGUUUUGGUAAUUGAUGAGCUGACUGAGAAGAAUCUUUUCUUUGUGAACCGAAUCUAUUUGGAUCCAUUUCCACCAUUCAUUUAUUUCAGCUUCUCACUCGUACUUUAUCAACCUAAAUUUCAAACAGGACAUUUUUUUUUGGGAAAAAUAAAAAUGAAACAUUUAGUAGUUUUAGCUAAAUUAGGUGAAUCGAUUAUUUGGGUAACAUUUCUUCAUAUUGGUUCUUCUUAUGGUAUAUAGGAGGGUUGAUAAAUUAGUUAGUUUUUUGUGGGGUUCUUCGCCUAUUUUUUUUUAUACAACUCGCCAAGUUCAUAUCAUAUCACACACAGAGACUGAUUCAGUCAAAAACAAAUCCAAAUGAUUGAUUCCACUCUUGCUGCUCAUUCCCACUCCGAAAAAGAAAAAAUGCUUUUUUAAAGCAAUGAGCCAGGGAAUAAUAUGAAUAGCAUCAGAAUAGUAGCUCUGAUUUUAUGAAUUUUGAUGUUUGUAUUUAUUUAUUUAUUUUUCUUUUUUGUUUCUCAUUGCUUUUGAGAUUUCAAGUUUAUAAUAGAAACCUUGUCAGAAAUUUAGUUUAAUAUAUAUAUAUAUAUAUGUAUAUAAAAUAUUCAAUAUUUAUAUGUGGAGCAGGACUGAAAUUGUGCUCUUUUUUUGGGUUUUAAUUUUAUAGUCUUCUGGGUGACUUGUCCAAAUUAUCAUGAUGUGUAGAUGGUCCAAGUUUCCUAUUUCUUGUUGUACAAUACAGCCAGCCAAUAAGCCUCAUUGUCUUGAAUCAGCUAUCAUUACAACAUGUGCCUUUGAAAAAGAAAAAAGAAAAAAAGCUACAUUAUCUAUGUUAAAGUCAAACAUGUCGACCAAGACCAGCAGCAGUAAAGAAAACAACACCUAUAAUUGGAAUUUGUUCUUUCAAUCUCUCUUUUUUUUCUACCAAGAAUGAGAAGAAAAAAAUACCCACUUCUGCCGAACCCAAUGCAUUAUCAAUAUCCCAAGAAUGGACUGUGGAGUGGAGUGAGAACGAGUUGACAAUUGACAGAGUGGGAAUUCCAACUCAACAAAUGCUUCCAUUCUUCUAAGCCACCAUAUGUCCAUACAUACCAUGAUCAAAAUCUAUAAAUGGGACACAAGCUUUUCAUGUUGUUUGAAAAAACUAAAAGCAUCUCCUUCUGCACAUGUGUGUACUGUUUUAAUUCCUAGUUUAAAAACAUAUAUAUAUAUAUAUAUAUAUAUGUGUGUGAAAAGAAGAGAAUAUGUUAGCAUUUGUUUAAAAUAUAGGUGCUUGUAAGAACCCAUAUUCGAUGCAAAUGCUAUUAUCAAUGCUUCUUUUGCUU
This is an RNA transcript of Humulus lupulus (European hop), 2028 nucleotides long. RefSeq lists it as uncharacterized. The record is from RefSeq and is a predicted model, not a curated record. The transcript has 2 exons. Lineage: Eukaryota; Viridiplantae; Streptophyta; Magnoliopsida; Rosales; Cannabaceae.